GCCCCUUGGCAAAAAUAUUGCCGUUAGGACGGUGCUUAGUAGGUCUUUUCUCGAAAUGUGCCGAGGCAAACAAGGAG
Molecule: small RNA, 77 nt
Filed under: bovine gut metagenome
Description: RT-18 RNA
Rfam family: RT-18 RNA
About the family: Clostridiales (Firmicutes). Nearby to self-splicing intron genes
Source: RNAcentral